RNAcentral lists this ribosomal RNA (408 nucleotides) under uncultured bacterium. RNAcentral describes it as "partial 16S ribosomal RNA". It matches the Rfam family "Bacterial small subunit ribosomal RNA", at positions 28 to 526 of the family's 1533-position model. The record is from RNAcentral.
GACGAACGCUGGCGGCGUGCUUAACACAUGCAAGUCGAACGAAGUGGCGAACGGGUGAGUAACGCGUAAUCAACCUGCCCUUCAGAGGGGGACAACAGUUGGAAACGACUGCUCAUACCGCAUACUGAAGGAGGGGAUUGCGUCGGAUUCGCUAGUUGGAGGGGUAACGGCCCACCAAGGCGAGGAUCAGUAGCCGGUCUGAGAGGAUGGACGGCCACAUUGGGACUGAGACACGGCCCAGAAUCCUACGGGAGGGAGCAGGGGGGAAUCUUCCGCAAUGGACGAAAGGCGGACGGAGCAACGCCGCGUGAGUGAUGAAGGCCUUCGGGUUGUAAAGCUCUGUUAAGCGGGACGCGGUACCGGAAGAGAAAGCAACGGCUAACUACGUGCCAGCAGCCGCGGUAAUUC